This 63-nucleotide transfer RNA is filed under the name Dreissena rostriformis. RNAcentral describes it as "tRNA-Ser". Lineage: Eukaryota; Metazoa; Mollusca; Bivalvia; Myida; Dreissenidae. The record is from RNAcentral.
GGCCUUACUGGGAAUAAAUUAGCUUGAAACUAAUUUUGGGGUGUUCGAAUCAUUUGAAGGCCU